AAUCAGGUAAAAAAAAGUCAAUUUUUGUUUGGUGUUCUGUUGAUAACAGUUUGUUUUCUAUUUAUUCAAAUUUCAUUAUUUUAAGAUUUUUUUAGAAAAUUUAUAAGCAGUGAACUUUCAACAAAUGUUUUUUUAAUUGUUAUAAAAACCAACUUUAUUUUUGGCUUUUAAAUAAAUAUCAUACGACCUUUUAACAACCAAAUAUUGUGUCAAAACGGGCUAUUUUGAAUCAGUGAAAUGAUUUUUGCAACGAACCAGAAGUUGUGAAGUCUUUAAUGUUAAAUCAAAUAUACAUUCACAAAAAAAAUGUUGUUAUUUAUAUUUGUUUA
This is a non-coding RNA of Hydra vulgaris (swiftwater hydra), 329 nucleotides long. The record is from RefSeq and is a predicted model, not a curated record. Lineage: Eukaryota; Metazoa; Cnidaria; Hydrozoa; Anthoathecata; Hydridae.